GAUGAAGAACGUAGCGAAAUGCGAUAAGUAAUGUGAAUUGCAGAAUUCAGUGAAUCAUCGAAUCUUUGAACGCACCUUGCACCCUUUGGCUAUUCCGAAGGGUAUGCCUGUUUGAGUAUCAUGAACACCUCAACUCUCAUGGUUUGCCAUGAUGAGCUUGGACUUUGGGGGUCUUGCUGGCCUGUGGUCAGCUCCUCUCAAAUGGAUUAGCUUGCCAGUGUUUGGUGGCAUCACAGGUGUGAUAACUAUCUACGCUUGUGGUUUUCCACCAGGUAACCUUCAGCAAUGGGGGUUCGCUGGGGCUCAUAAAUGUCUCUCCUGAGUGAGGACAGCUCUUUGAACGUUUGAUCUCAAAUCAGGUAGGACUACCCGCUGAACUUAAGCAUAUCAAUAAGCGGAGGA
Molecule: unclassified non-coding RNA, 402 nt
Filed under: soil metagenome
Description: partial contains 5.8S ribosomal RNA, internal transcribed spacer 2, and large subunit ribosomal RNA
Rfam family: 5.8S ribosomal RNA (bases 1-121)
Source: RNAcentral